Molecule: ribosomal RNA, 333 nt
Filed under: uncultured eukaryote
Lineage: Eukaryota
Description: partial 18S ribosomal RNA
Rfam family: Eukaryotic small subunit ribosomal RNA
Source: RNAcentral
CCCUUAGAUGUCCUGGGCUGCACGCGCGCUACACUGAUGUGUCCAGUAAGCACCUAACCUAUUCCGAGAGGAGCGGGUAACCUUAGCAAAGCACAUCGUGAUGGGGAUAGAUUAUUGCAAUUAUUAGUCUUGAACGAGGAAUUCCUAGUAAGCACAAGUCAUCAGCUUGUGUUGAUUACGUCCCUGCCCUUUGUACACACCGCCCGUCGCUACUACCGAUUGAACGGUUUAGUGAGGGCCUCGGAUUGGUCUCGGCCCGCUCUUUACCGGGCGGCGCCGUUGGUCGAGAAGACGCUCGAACUUGAUCGUUUAGAGGAAGUAAAAGUCGUAACA